This 755-nucleotide ribosomal RNA is filed under the name uncultured bacterium. RNAcentral describes it as "bacterial SSU rRNA". It matches the Rfam family "Bacterial small subunit ribosomal RNA", at positions 750 to 1502 of the family's 1533-position model. The record is from RNAcentral.
GGCGCGAAAGCCAGGGGGAGCGAACGGAUUAGAUACCCCGGGUAGUCCUGGCCCGUAAACGAUGGGUACUAGGUGUAGGAGGUAUUGACCCCUUCUGUGCCGGAGUUAACGCAAUAAGUACCCCGCCUGGGGAGUACGACCGCAAGGUUGAAACUCAAAGGAAUUGACGGGGGCCCGCACAAGCGGUGGAGUAUGUGGUUUAAUUCGACGCAACGCGAAGAACCUUACCAGGUCUUGACAUUGAUGGACAGAACUAGAGAUAGUUCCUCUUCUUCGGAAGCCAGAAAACAGGUGGUGCACGGUUGUCGUCAGCUCGUGUCGUGAGAUGUUGGGUUAAGUCCCGCAACGAGCGCAACCCCUAUCUUAUGUUGCCAGCACUUUGGGUGGGAACUCAUGAGAGACUGCCGCAGACAAUGCGGAGGAAGGCGGGGAUGACGUCAAAUCAUCAUGCCCCUUAUGACCUGGGCUACACACGUACUACAAUGGGAGUUAAUAGACGGAAGCGAGAUCGCGAGAUGGAGCAAACCCGAGAAACACUCUCUCAGUUCGGAUCGUAGGCUGCAACUCGCCUACGUGAAGUCGGAAUCGCUAGUAAUCGCAGGUCAGCAUACUGCGGUGAAUACGUUCCCGGGCCUUGUACACACCGCCCGUCACACCACGAAAGUCGGAAGUGCCCAAAACCGGUGGGGUAACCUUCGGGAGCCAGCCGUCUAAGGUAAUGUCUAUAUUGGGGUGAAGUCGUAACAAGGUAGCCG